This 1032-nucleotide long non-coding RNA is filed under the name Astyanax mexicanus (Mexican tetra). RNAcentral's name for it is "lncRNA (ENSAMXG00005003074.1)". The record is from RNAcentral. Lineage: Eukaryota; Metazoa; Chordata; Actinopteri; Characiformes; Acestrorhamphidae.
AAAUCACUGACCCAUGAGAUAGUUCUGGUUGGAUGUGGAGGUAAACUGACCAAGCCGAAGUGCAUGUAUGAAGUUGAGCUAAAAGUCUAUGGACAGAGUUGCAUGGUCCCUGUUCUUGUUGUGCCAGGUCAAAAGGAUGAACUCAUACUGGGCACCAAUGUCAUAAAAUUCCUCAUGCAUCAAAUGAAAGUCAGCGACGACUAUUGGCGUCUCAUUUCCAGUGGUGGUUUGCAGUCUUCUGUCGAGUGUGAGCAAUUCUUGGACUUGAUGGCAAACACAUGCAGAUGGAGAGGAGAUGAGCUACCAAGAAAGGUGGGAACCGUGAAACUCCAGCAAUCAGUUACUCUUCUGGCAAAGCAAGAAUACCUGCUUUGGGGAAAACUACCAAGGGAUGUUCCUAUGUCUCCAGGAAGCACAGUUGUUGUGGAGCCCACAUCUACUAAGACCAUGCCUCGACACAUAAUGGUUGGACGUGUUGUUACGCCACUGUGGGGUGAUGGGUGGAUCCCCAUGAGGGUAACUAAUGUUUCUGACCAACCUGUUACUUUGAAAAGAAAUAGCAAACUGGCAGAUGUGUCGCCUUGUAUAGCUGUGGAGGACUUUGACCUUUUUCAAGGAGUCAGUCAUGUUGAAGCCACUUCAUUGGGGCAACAGCCAUCACACAUUAAUCCUGCUGACCUCAAACGACGUUUGGAAGAUGUUGGGCUUGCCGAUAUCGAUAUCGAUUCUUGUUCCACUGACAUGGUGUCUAAGGAGAGACUUGUCCGGCUGCUUGAGAAGUAUAAUGAUGUCUUUUCCAAACACUCAUUGGACUGUGGGGAAGCGAAAGGAUUUGUUCACCGAAUCCGUCUCAUGGAUGAGCGACCUUUCCGACUCCCUUACCGUCGUGUACCCCCUGCUCAUUAUCAGAAGCUACGCCAAGUCCUAUCAGAAAUGGAAGAACAAGGGAUUAUUCGAAAAUCUGUGAGUGAAUAUGCCUCUCCCUUGGUUCUGGUAUGGAAAAAAGAUGGCAGCUUAAGAAUUUGUACAGAU